GGCGAGUCACCGCCCGUC
This 18-nucleotide non-coding RNA is filed under the name Mus musculus (house mouse). Lineage: Eukaryota; Metazoa; Chordata; Mammalia; Rodentia; Muridae. The record is from RNAcentral.